RNAcentral lists this transfer RNA (73 nucleotides) under Myotis lucifugus (little brown bat). It matches the Rfam family "tRNA". Rfam says of the family: Transfer RNA (tRNA) molecules are approximately 80 nucleotides in length. Their secondary structure includes four short double-helical elements and three loops (D, anti-codon, and T loops). Further hydrogen bonds mediate the characteristic L-shaped molecular structure. tRNAs have two regions of fundamental functional importance: the anti-codon, which is responsible for specific mRNA codon recognition, and the 3' end, to which the tRNAs corresponding amino acid is attached (by aminoacyl-tRNA synthetases). tRNAs cope with the degeneracy of the genetic code in two manners: having more than one tRNA (with a specific anti-codon) for a particular amino acid; and 'wobble' base-pairing, i.e. permitting non-standard base-pairing at the 3rd anti-codon position. The record is from Rfam by way of RNAcentral. Lineage: Eukaryota; Metazoa; Chordata; Mammalia; Chiroptera; Vespertilionidae.
GCCGGUGUGGCUCAGUAGGUAGAGCGUCGGCCUGGGGACUGAAGUGUCCCAGGUUCAAUUCCGGUCAUGGGCA